AUGUGCAAAGGAAGAACCUUCCAGAAUCACCCUCAUGUACCCCUAUGCUCUGUACAUACCCAGCGCUCUGCACUGAGGCAGACCCUAAAGCUGCAGUGGGAAUGGAGGUGGAUACACUUAUGGAAAGAAAGACUUCUUCAAAGAAUGGUGGCGACCCAGGUCUCCCCUUCUGCUGUGGCUCUUAGAGGACCUGGAGUUGGAGAGGGGAAGUCACUGGCAUGUGGAGGAAGACUAGGAGAGGAGGGGGAGGCCAAAGUGUGUCCCACCUUCACUCCACCUCUCUGCUCUCUCUCUCCUAUAUUGAGCGCCUCCCUCCCCAGAGUUGUGGUCACUGAUAAGGAGGACCCUGAGGGCAACCACACCUUGCCAUGCAGAGCACCUGGCUUCUCACCUGCCAACCUCACUCUGACCUGGCUGCAGGAAGGGAAGGAGCCAACUCUGGACUCAAGAUUCAAGGGGACCAGACCCAGAGAGAUGAGACAUACCAGGACUGGGCAGCUGUGGGGGUCCUUCCAGAGAGGAGCUGAGAUACACCUACCUGGAGGGGCCCCAGGGCCUGGAGGGGCUCCUCAGUGUGACUGGCCCCAGGCUCUGGCCUCUCUCUCUCCUCUUCUACCCUCUAGCCGGUAAUGACUGAUUUCCCACUGAGGAGCCAGCUCUAGGGAGCUGUCCUUCCUCCAGGCCCAGGGAAGUGAAAAAAGAAGCAGGAACAGUGAAAUACGCCACAGGAAAGAAAAAUCUUAGUGAUCCCUCCUGCUGUCUCUCUCCUUUUGUCUAUUCUGGCAAAUUUUGUAAGUGAAAUUUGUUACCAAGAUGUGAAAAUCUUAUUAUAAGAAAGUCUCUAAAUAUUUGAGAAUAAAAUGAUCAAUGUCUCAGCUCUGCAGGCUGAAAAAACAGAAUCUUUACAAAAUAAAAUCAUGUUUGGAAAACUUCUCCUCUGAGGGAUAUCAAAGCCUGCACUGAAUAAGCUCUAAGGAGGUGCUGAAAUGACUGCCAUUUAUUUGCCUGUGUAAGCUCAGGCAGGUGUUGGAAUUGAGGAAGGAUAGGUAAUGAAAAAAGUAACCAUGUGCUUGGGGCACAGUGACGGUGAUGACCACAGAAUCAACACAAUAAGCUCUAGCAUUUGCAUCGUAGUCCAGUUCAUUCAAGCAAAGCUAUCUCCAAUAGGGAAUUUACCCUGUACAGAACAUGUGCAUUUUGAUUUCACCUUUUCUAACUGACCCUUUGCUCAUGACAAUAGUGAAAAAAUACAGCCCUGGGUGGAGAUUUAAGAUACUAACGAGUCAUGAGAUGUAUGAACAUGCAUGUACAGCUACUGCACAUGUGCACCAAGAAGACCACCCAGAACAUGCUCACUAGUAACCCCUCUUCCCACCCACCUCCUACGAAUAAUCAUGUAAGACUCCCAUAAAGGGAGUUUCUCCAGCAGUAAUCAAUGCUGCCUCAUCCAUAGGAGCAGCCCGCCCUGAAUCCUCUCUCUCAGGGUAUACAGUUUAUUUUGCACUUAACUUUCAAAAUAGUAUUUUUCCUUUGUAAUAAAUUGCUUUGUACUUCUCCUUUGCUGCAUGUUUCUUAUUUAAAUUCUUUUAAAUGAAGAAGUCAAAAACCACAGUAUUACAACAGCCGUCAACAUUUCUGGUGCCAUGACUCAGACAGAGGUUUGUAUGCUUCAUUGGUUUCAGUUCCCCUUCACUCCUGGUGAGUGCUGUGGCAGCCCCAGACCCCUGAUUGACUAUCACUGCUUUCCCCAGAUCUAUUCUAUGAAGGUUUUGGGGGAGGACCUUUUAAAUCACUCACAUUAUUUGAGCAAAGAAGGAGCGAAACUUCGUCUCAAAAAUAAAAAUAAAAGAUAAUAAACAAUGCGGCAAAGAAUUAAACUCUUGAUACGAUCCUCACCAUUUUAAGGG
RNAcentral lists this long non-coding RNA (1907 nucleotides) under Cercocebus atys (sooty mangabey). Its description in RNAcentral is "lncRNA (ENSCATG00000045891.1)". Lineage: Eukaryota; Metazoa; Chordata; Mammalia; Primates; Cercopithecidae. The record is from RNAcentral.